CGGUGCUGGAAGGUUAAGGGGAUCUGUUAGAGUAAUCGAAGCAGUGAACUUAAGCCCCAGUAAACGGCGGCCGUAACUAUAACGGUCCUAAGGUAGCGAAAUUCCUUGUCGGGUAAGUUCCGACCCGCACGACAGGCGUAACGAUUUGGGCACUGUCUCAACAACAGACUCGGUGAAAUUGUAAUUCCGGUGAAGAUGCCGGAUACCUGCGACAGGACGGAAAGACCCCAUGGAGCUUUACUGUAGCUUGACAUUGGG
This 258-nucleotide ribosomal RNA is filed under the name Clostridioides difficile. RNAcentral's name for it is "partial 23S ribosomal RNA". It matches the Rfam family "Bacterial large subunit ribosomal RNA", at positions 1864 to 2121 of the family's 2925-position model. The record is from RNAcentral. Lineage: Bacteria; Bacillati; Bacillota; Clostridia; Peptostreptococcales; Peptostreptococcaceae.